GGCCGAAUAUCCAAGGUUUCCAGAGUAAAGCUGAUCUGCUCUGGGUAAGUCGGGGCCUAAGGCGAGGACGAGAGUCGUAGCCGAUGGACAACAGGUGGAGAUUCCUGUACUGCGGUAUGACAGAACUGUGGGGACACGUAAGGAAAGCGGAAGCCGGGAAUGGAAAGCCCGGUGCAAGCGGGGUACCAGUCACUUUGGCAAAUCCGGGUGGCAAUGGGAAGCCGUGAUGCGGAGCGAAAUAAAGUAGCGAAGUCCGUGAGCCAUGCGUCAAGAAAAGCCGCUAUUGUUUAUACCGUACCCGUACCGUAAACCGACACAGGUGGAUGAGGAGAGAAUCCUAAGGCCGGCGGAAGAAGCAUUGUCAAGGAACUCGGCAAAAUGGCCCCGUAACUUAGGGAUAAGGGGUGCCUGGGAAACCAGGCCGCAGAGAAUAGGCUCAAGCAACUGUUUAGCAAAAACACAGGUCUAUGCGAAACCGAAAGGUGAGGUAUAUGGGCUGACGCCUGCCCGGUGCUGGAAGGUUAAGAGGAGAGGUUAGAGCAAUCGAAGCUUUGAAUUGAAGCCCCAGUAAACGGCGGCCGUAACUAUAACGGUCCUAAGGUAGCGAAAUUCCUUGUCGGGUAAGUUCCGACCCGCACGAAAGGCGUAAUGAUUUGAGCGCUGUCUCAACAAUGCACCCGGUGAAAUUGAAAUACCAGUGAAGAUGCUGGUUACCUGCGCCAGGACGGAAAGACCCCAUGGAGCUUUACUCCAGUUUGGUACUGGGAUCCGGUAUUGCAUGUACAGGAUAGGUGGGAGGCUGAGAAGCAGUAACGCCAGUUGCUGCAGAGCCGCUGUUGGGAUACCACCCUUGCAGUAUUGGGUUUCUAACCAGCCGCCGUGACCCGGCGGUGGGACAAUGCCAGACGGGGAGUUUGACUGGGGCGGUCGCCUCCGAAAGGGUAUCGGAGGCGCCCAAAGGUUCCCUCAGAAUGGACGGAAACCAUUCGAAGAGUGCAAAGGCAGAAGGGAGCUUGACUGCGACACCGACGGGUGGAGCAGGUACGAAAGUAGGACUUAGUGAUCCGGUGGUAUGAAAGUGGGAUUGCCAUCGCUCAACGGAUAAAAGCUACCCUGGGGAUAACAGGCUUAUCACUCCCAAGAGUUCACAUCGACGGAGUGGUUUGGCACCUCGAUGUCGGCUCAUCGCAUCCUGGAGCUGUAGCAGGUUCCAAGGGUUGGGCUGUUCGCCCAUUAAAGCGGUACGCGAGCUGGGUUCAGAACGUCGUGAGACAGUUCGGUCCCUAUC
Molecule: ribosomal RNA, 1288 nt
Filed under: human gut metagenome
Description: bacterial LSU rRNA
Rfam family: Bacterial large subunit ribosomal RNA
Source: RNAcentral